This 2923-nucleotide ribosomal RNA is filed under the name Klebsiella pneumoniae. RNAcentral's name for it is "23S ribosomal RNA". It matches the Rfam family "Bacterial large subunit ribosomal RNA". Lineage: Bacteria; Pseudomonadati; Pseudomonadota; Gammaproteobacteria; Enterobacterales; Enterobacteriaceae. The record is from RNAcentral.
GGGUUGUGAGGUUAAGCGACUAAGCGUACACGGUGGAUGCCCUGGCAGUCAGAGGCGAUGAAGGACGUGCUAAUCUGCGAAAAGCGUCGGUAAGGUGAUAUGAACCGUUAUAGCCGGCGAUGUCCGAAUGGGGAAACCCAGUGUGAUUCGUCACACUAUCGUUAACUGAAUACAUAGGUUAACGAGGCGAACCGGGGGAACUGAAACAUCUAAGUACCCCGAGGAAAAGAAAUCAACCGAGAUUCCCCCAGUAGCGGCGAGCGAACGGGGAGCAGCCCAGAGUCUGAAUCAGCUUGUGUGUUAGUGGAACGGUCUGGAAAGUCCGACGGUACAGGGUGAUAGUCCCGUACACCAAAAUGCACAGGCUGUGAACUCGAAGAGUAGGGCGGGACACGUGGUAUCCUGUCUGAAUAUGGGGGGACCAUCCUCCAAGGCUAAAUACUCCUGACUGACCGAUAGUGAACCAGUACCGUGAGGGAAAGGCGAAAAGAACCCCGGCGAGGGGAGUGAAAAAGAACCUGAAACCGUGUACGUACAAGCAGUGGGAGCACCUUCGGGUGUGACUGCGUACCUUUUGUAUAAUGGGUCAGCGACUUAUAUUCUGUAGCAAGGUUAACCGUAUAGGGGAGCCGCAGGGAAACCGAGUCUUAACUGGGCGUUAAGUUGCAGGGUAUAGACCCGAAACCCGGUGAUCUAGCCAUGGGCAGGUUGAAGGUUGGGUAACACUAACUGGAGGACCGAACCGACUAAUGUUGAAAAAUUAGCGGAUGACUUGUGGCUGGGGGUGAAAGGCCAAUCAAACCGGGAGAUAGCUGGUUCUCCCCGAAAGCUAUUUAGGUAGCGCCUCGUGAAUUCAUCUUCGGGGGUAGAGCACUGUUUCGGCUAGGGGGUCAUCCCGACUUACCAACCCGAUGCAAACUACGAAUACCGAAGAAUGUUAUCACGGGAGACACACGGCGGGUGCUAACGUCCGUCGUGAAGAGGGAAACAACCCAGACCGCCAGCUAAGGUCCCAAAGUCAUGGUUAAGUGGGAAACGAUGUGGGAAGGCACAGACAGCCAGGAUGUUGGCUUAGAAGCAGCCAUCAUUUAAAGAAAGCGUAAUAGCUCACUGGUCGAGUCGGCCUGCGCGGAAGAUGUAACGGGGCUAAACCAUGCACCGAAGCUGCGGCAGCGACACUAUGUGUUGUUGGGUAGGGGAGCGUUCUGUAAGCCUGCGAAGGUGACCUGUGAGGGUUGCUGGAGGUAUCAGAAGUGCGAAUGCUGACAUAAGUAACGAUAAAGCGGGUGAAAAGCCCGCUCGCCGGAAGACCAAGGGUUCCUGUCCAACGUUAAUCGGGGCAGGGUGAGUCGACCCCUAAGGCGAGGCCGAAAGGCGUAGUCGAUGGGAAACAGGUUAAUAUUCCUGUACUUGGUGUUACUGCGAAGGGGGGACGGAGAAGGCUAUGUUAGCCGGGCGACGGUUGUCCCGGUUUAAGCAUGUAGGCUGGUUGUCCAGGCAAAUCCGGAUAAUCAAGGCUGAGGUGUGAUGACGAGGCACUACGGUGCUGAAGUAACAAAUGCCCUGCUUCCAGGAAAAGCCUCUAAGCAUCAGGUAACAUCAAAUCGUACCCCAAACCGACACAGGUGGUCAGGUAGAGAAUACCAAGGCGCUUGAGAGAACUCGGGUGAAGGAACUAGGCAAAAUGGUGCCGUAACUUCGGGAGAAGGCACGCUGGUGUGUAGGUGAAGUCCCUGCGGAUGGAGCUGAGACCAGUCGAAGAUACCAGCUGGCUGCAACUGUUUAUUAAAAACACAGCACUGUGCAAACACGAAAGUGGACGUAUACGGUGUGACGCCUGCCCGGUGCCGGAAGGUUAAUUGAUGGGGUUAUCCGUAAGGAGAAGCUCUUGAUCGAAGCCCCGGUAAACGGCGGCCGUAACUAUAACGGUCCUAAGGUAGCGAAAUUCCUUGUCGGGUAAGUUCCGACCUGCACGAAUGGCGUAAUGAUGGCCAGGCUGUCUCCACCCGAGACUCAGUGAAAUUGAACUCGCUGUGAAGAUGCAGUGUACCCGCGGCAAGACGGAAAGACCCCGUGAACCUUUACUAUAGCUUGACACUGAACAUUGAGCCUUGAUGUGUAGGAUAGGUGGGAGGCUUUGAAGCGUGGACGCCAGUCUGCGUGGAGCCAACCUUGAAAUACCACCCUUUAAUGUUUGAUGUUCUAACGUUGGCCCCUUACCGGGGUUGCGGACAGUGUCUGGUGGGUAGUUUGACUGGGGCGGUCUCCUCCCAAAGCGUAACGGAGGAGCACGAAGGUUAGCUAAUCCUGGUCGGACAUCAGGAGGUUAGUGCAAUGGCAUAAGCUAGCUUGACUGCGAGCGUGACGGCGCGAGCAGGUGCGAAAGCAGGUCAUAGUGAUCCGGUGGUUCUGAAUGGAAGGGCCAUCGCUCAACGGAUAAAAGGUACUCCGGGGAUAACAGGCUGAUACCGCCCAAGAGUUCAUAUCGACGGCGGUGUUUGGCACCUCGAUGUCGGCUCAUCACAUCCUGGGGCUGAAGUAGGUCCCAAGGGUAUGGCUGUUCGCCAUUUAAAGUGGUACGCGAGCUGGGUUUAGAACGUCGUGAGACAGUUCGGUCCCUAUCUGCCGUGGGCGCUGGAGAAUUGAGGGGGGCUGCUCCUAGUACGAGAGGACCGGAGUGGACGCAUCACUGGUGUUCGGGUUGUCAUGCCAAUGGCACUGCCCGGUAGCUAAAUGCGGAAGAGAUAAGUGCUGAAAGCAUCUAAGCACGAAACUUGCCCCGAGAUGAGUUCUCCCUGAGACUUUAAGUCUCCUGAAGGAACGUUAAAGACGAUGACGUUGAUAGGCCGGGUGUGUAAGCGCAGCGAUGCGUUGAGCUAACCGGUACUAAUGAACCGUGAGGCUUAACCUUACAACGCCGAAG